GGCCAUGCUCGGACAGCAGGUCGCCGUUCUGGGCCUAGGGGAAGGGGUCGCGCCCCAUCUACCCGCCCGCUCCAGAAAAAAAAAGUUGCCGUGAACCACGCACAUUAAACUAUCCUGCUUCCCUGCCGUCCCCCUCCCCCAUAAUAAUAAGUAGGCGCGGGCGGCGCCGGGAACUGCAGAAAGAAGGACGCAGCGCGAUGACGACGGCGUCCGUUUAACGGACAGCUAAAGAGGAAGGGGUUGGAGGGGGAUCCACGUGGAGUUCGGCCACGAGUGCACAAGAUGUCAAUGCAGCCAUGGAGAUGGGUAUCCACCAACGGUUUGCAUACACAUUGCCUCAAUGUGUUUGUCCCGAGCAGGGGGACGUUUGUGAAUGCAUUGCACAACGUGCAAGUAACAGUCUUCAUCUCACCAAAGGGCAGAGGCAGGAGGUCUGCUUUAGUUAGCAAAAACCCAGUUCAGGCAAAAAUGCCAUUAUCUGUAAUGAUGAUUUUCUCAGAAAAGCAGCGAUAGAUCAGACUUGAAAUAAGUGUUUCUCCUUGCUCACUCUUUCUUAUCCCAAAUGGGGGAAAUUGACAGA
Pelodiscus sinensis (Chinese soft-shelled turtle) is the source of this 580-nucleotide non-coding RNA. The record is from RefSeq and is a predicted model, not a curated record. NCBI's taxonomy places the organism in Eukaryota, Metazoa, Chordata, Testudines, Trionychidae.